AAUCCCCUGCGGUGUUCGUGGAAGUCGUAGAUUCCUUGAACCAAUGCUUGAGAGCAUGGUUGCUGACGACGAAUCCGCUGUGCGAGCGCCCCUAGCCGGGCGCACCUGAUGCGGACGUAGAAGCGACCACCCUGAACCCCAGGUUCAGGAUGCCCGGCCGACACGGCACAAGCGGGGGGCCA
RNAcentral lists this non-coding RNA (182 nucleotides) under Pseudazoarcus pumilus. RNAcentral's name for it is "6S / SsrS RNA". It matches the Rfam family "6S / SsrS RNA". From Rfam's summary of the family: E. coli 6S RNA was the first non coding RNA to be sequenced, but its function was unknown until recently. It consists of 184 nucleotides that fold into an extended hairpin structure with a large single-stranded internal bulge. The record is from Rfam by way of RNAcentral. Lineage: Bacteria; Pseudomonadati; Pseudomonadota; Betaproteobacteria; Rhodocyclales; Zoogloeaceae.